UACAGAGGUCUCAAGCGUUGUUCGGAUUCAUUGGGCGUAAAGGGUGCGUAGGUGGCGCCGUAAGUCAGGUGUGAAAUCUCGGGGCUCAACCCCGAAACUGCACUUGAUACUGCGGUGCUCGAGUACUGGAGAGGAGAUUGGAAUUUACGGUGUAGCGGUGAAAUGCGUAGAUAUCGUAAGGAAGACCAGUGGCGAAGGCGGGUCUCUGGACAGUUCCUGACGCUGAGGCACGAAGGCCAGGGGAGCAAACGGG
Molecule: ribosomal RNA, 253 nt
Filed under: uncultured bacterium
Lineage: Bacteria
Description: partial 16S ribosomal RNA
Rfam family: Bacterial small subunit ribosomal RNA
Source: RNAcentral